Molecule: transfer RNA, 73 nt
Filed under: Gammaproteobacteria bacterium
Lineage: Bacteria; Pseudomonadati; Pseudomonadota; Gammaproteobacteria
Description: tRNA-Ser
Rfam family: tRNA
About the family: Transfer RNA (tRNA) molecules are approximately 80 nucleotides in length.
Source: RNAcentral
GCCCUCGUAGCUCAAUGGAUAGAGCGUCCGAAUGCUAAUUGGAGGGGUGCAGGUUCGAAUCCUGCCGAGGGCG